RNAcentral lists this ribosomal RNA (1257 nucleotides) under Jenufa minuta. RNAcentral's name for it is "large subunit ribosomal RNA". It matches the Rfam family "Bacterial large subunit ribosomal RNA", at positions 1589 to 2861 of the family's 2925-position model. Lineage: Eukaryota; Viridiplantae; Chlorophyta; Chlorophyceae. The record is from RNAcentral.
AUUCAUUCAGGAAAACUAGUAUAUAUACGCUUCGGCGUUUAAUUGUUAAUACUUACCGUACCAACCGACAAUGGUGGAUUUGUAGAGUAUACUAAGGUAUUAAGAUAAUCAUGUGUAAGGAACUCGGCAAAAUGCUUACGUAACUUAGGAAGAAGUAAGACUCUUUAAAAAAUAAGAGUUUAAAAAAAUCGAAGAUGACAACUGUUUAACAAAAACACAGAACUUUGCUAAUUUUAAAAAAGAUGUAUAGAGUUUGAGAAUUGCCCAGUACAGCUAGAUAAAUGUUAUGAUGUAUAUAAAAACACGUAACGAAUAGCUACGUGAUACUAUGCUUUAUAAAUUAACAGGCUGUAAACGGCGGUUUUAACUAUAAGAAUCGUAAAGUAGCGAAAUUCAUUGGCAAUUAAUUGUUGUCCUGCACGAAUAUUUUAAUGAUCAUCUUACUGUCUCACACAUGAACUUUGUGAAAUUGAAAUUUUCGUGAAUAUGCGAAAUACCUAACACUGGACAACGAGACCCUAUGCAUCUUUACUCUAAGCUGUAAUCUAUUUUUUUAUAUACAACGUAAGUAGGAGAGUCUUGCAUUUUCACUUUUUUACUUUUAAACUAAUAAGUGGUAAGAUAUCGUUAAUGAAAAACUACUCGGAGAUAUAACUAACUAACAAAAUGUACAGCUUGGGAGUUUCUCUGGGGCGGAGAUCUUUAAAAAAGUAACAAGGAUGAGCUUAUGGUGACAUAUGAAACUUUACUGAGUAAAUUGUCGCUUAAUUGCUGUAUAACUGUAUAUUGCAAAAACGAAAGUUUGUCAGAGUGAGCUUGAAUUUUAAAUACACAAAAAAGUGGAAUUUCUUCAAAUCAACAAAUAAAAGAUACGCUAGGGCUAACAGCUUAAUAUUCUCCUAGAGUACCUAUCGACGAGAAUGUUUAAGACCUCGAUGUCGGCUCACUUUUUCCUAGUGCUGCAGAUAGUGCUUCAGGUUGGAUUGUUCAUCCAUUAAAAAAGUACGUUAGCUGGGUUCAGAACGCCGUGAGGCAGUUCGGUCCAUAUCCGUGCUAGGUGUGUUAGACUUAAAUUAACUUCUUUAAGUACGAAAGGACAACAAGAAGAUCGUCUCUGGUGUUUGAGUUGUUUUACAUAUAUGCAUUGCAGCGCUCAGAAGCUAAACGAUAAAUUUUAAUUGCUGAAAGCAUAUAAGCAAAAAAAUUUUAUUUAACCAAGUCUAAUUUAUAAUGCUCAACGCUAGAGCAUAGAUAGGU